This 135-nucleotide microRNA precursor is filed under the name Marmota monax (woodchuck). Lineage: Eukaryota; Metazoa; Chordata; Mammalia; Rodentia; Sciuridae. The record is from RNAcentral.
GAGAGAGAGAGAGAGAGAGAGGAAAAAGAAGAAGAAGAAGAAGAAGAAGAAGAAGAAGAAGAAGUUCUUCUUCUUCUUCUUCUUCUUCUUCUUCUUCUUCUUCUUCUUCUUUUCCUCCUCCUCAUCCUCUUCUCU